AGACCCGAAACCCGGUGAUCUAGCCAUGGGCAGGUUGAAGGUUGGGUAACACUAACUGGAGGACCGAACCGACUAAUGUUGAAAAAUUAGCGGAUGACCUGUGGCUGGGGGUGAAAGGCCAAUCAAACCGGGAGAUAGCUGGUUCUCCCCGAAAGCUAUUUAGGUAGCGCCUCGUGAAUUCAUCUCCGGGGGUAGAGCACUGUUUCGGCUAGGGGGCCAUCCCGGCUUACCAACCCGAUGCAAACUGCGAAUACCGGAGAAUGUUAUCACGGGAGACACACGGCGGGUGCUAACGUCCGUCGUGAAGAGGGAAACAACCCAGACCGCCAGCUAAGGUCCCAAAGUCAUGGUUAAGUGGGAAACGAUGUGGGAAGGCCCAGACAGCCAGGAUGUUGGCUUAGAAGCAGCCAUCAUUUAAAGAAAGCGUAAUAGCUCACUGGUCGAGUCGGCCUGCGCGGAAGAUGUAACGGGGCUAAACCAUGCACCGAAGCUGCGGCAGCGAACGUAUCACUUAAAGCGAUUCAGCGGGUUACGAUUGACGGAGCGAAGCGACGUCAAAGCGUAUACAAAGUCGAGUCGGUUUAAGGAUACGUUCGUUGGGUAGGGGAGCGUUCUGUAAGCCUGUGAAGGUGUGUCGUGAGGCAUGCUGGAGGUAUCAGAAGUGCGAAUGCUGACAUAAGUAACGAUAAAGCGGGUGAAAAGCCCGCUCGCCGGAAGACCAAGGGUUCCUGUCCAACGUUAAUCGGGGCAGGGUGAGUCGACCCCUAAGGCGAGGCCGAAAGGCGUAGUCGAUGGGAAACGGGUUAAUAUUCCCGUACUUGGUGUUACUGCGAAGGGGGGACGGAGAAGGCUAUGUUGGCCGGGCGACGGUUGUCCCGGUUUAAGCGUGUAGGCUGGUUUUCCAGGCAAAUCCGGAAAAUCAAGGCUGAGGCGUGAUGACGAGGCACUACGGUGCUGAAGCAACAAAUGCCCUGCUUCCAGGAAAAGCCUCUAAGCAUCAGGUAACAUCAAAUCGUACCCCAAACCGACACAGGUGGUCAGGUAGAGAAUACCAAGGCGCUUGAGAGAACUCGGGUGAAGGAACUAGGCAAAAUGGUGCCGUAACU
RNAcentral lists this ribosomal RNA (1106 nucleotides) under Salmonella enterica subsp. enterica serovar Infantis. RNAcentral's name for it is "partial 23S ribosomal RNA". It matches the Rfam family "Bacterial large subunit ribosomal RNA", at positions 711 to 1735 of the family's 2925-position model. The record is from RNAcentral. Lineage: Bacteria; Pseudomonadati; Pseudomonadota; Gammaproteobacteria; Enterobacterales; Enterobacteriaceae.